AAGUCCAGGACAGCGGUGUGUGCUCCGGCAAGAGUUCUCUUUUCUUGUUAACAGUGUGGGUGGCCCCUGGAAUCGGAUCGACCGGCGAUAGGGGUCAGCCCGUAUGGGAAAGCGGCUUAAUCUUUGAGCCGUCCGGCACGCACGCAACGCUCCUUGAAAACUGGAUGGAGUGAUUUAUUCGCACCCCUGGUCGUACUCAUAACCGCAUCAGGUCUCCAAGGUGUGUAGCCUCUGGUCCAUAGAAUAAUGUAGAUAAGGGAAGUCGGCAAAUUAGAUCUGUAACUUCGGGAUAAGGAUUGGCUCUGAGGAUAAUUUUCGUGUGGGGUGGUUCCGGCGAUGACGGCCGAGCCAGUUGUGGUCUGCUUGCUUCGGCCUGCGGAUCGCUUCUCAGCGAAGCCUGAUUCUGUUCGGACCGCCACUCUGCACAUGUUUAUGGCAACAUAAUCACAAAUCAACUCUGAACUGGAGCAGACUAGGGGAAUCCGACUGUUUAAUUAAAACAAAG
Molecule: ribosomal RNA, 505 nt
Filed under: Karlodinium veneficum
Lineage: Eukaryota; Dinophyceae; Gymnodiniales; Kareniaceae
Description: partial Eukaryotic large subunit ribosomal RNA
Rfam family: Eukaryotic large subunit ribosomal RNA
Source: RNAcentral